AGUGAACGCUGGCGGUAGGCCUAACACAUGCAAGUCGAACGGCAGCACAGUAAGAGCUUGCUCUUACGGGUGGCGAGUGGCGGACUGGUGAGGAAUACAUCGGAAUCUACUUUUUCGUGGGGGAUAACGUAGGGAAACUUACGCUAAUACCGCAUACGACCUACGGGUGAAAGCAGGGGAUCUUCGGACCUUGCGCGAUUGAAUGAGCCGAUGUCGGAUUAGCUAGUUGGCGGGGUAAAGGCCCACCAAGGCGACGAUCCGUAGCUGGUCUGAGAGGAUGAGCAGCCACACUGGAACUGAGACACGGUCCAGACUCCUACGGGAGGCAGCAGUGGGAAUAUUGGACAAUGGGCGCAAGCCUGAUCCAGCCAUACCGCGUGGGUGAAGAAGGCCUUCGGGUUGUAAAGCCCUUUUGUUGGGAAAGAAAAGCAGCAGGUUAAUACCCCGCUGUUCUGACGGUACCCAAAGAAUAAGCACCGGCUAACUUCGUG
RNAcentral lists this ribosomal RNA (491 nucleotides) under uncultured bacterium. Its description in RNAcentral is "partial 16S ribosomal RNA". It matches the Rfam family "Bacterial small subunit ribosomal RNA", at positions 29 to 507 of the family's 1533-position model. The record is from RNAcentral.